Molecule: unclassified non-coding RNA, 2024 nt
Filed under: Leguminivora glycinivorella
Lineage: Eukaryota; Metazoa; Arthropoda; Insecta; Lepidoptera; Tortricidae
Description: prostatic acid phosphatase-like, transcript variant X3
Source: RNAcentral
GGUCCCGAUAGUAUAAUAUGCUUAAUUUUGUUUUAAACACGUUUUCGAUGCAUAAUAAUAAUAUUUUUUAUAUGUACGAGGUUUGAAAGUCUAAAUACGAGAAUUUUAGCUGCAUACGUACGAGGAAGUUUGCUUUACGGUUGGCAACCCUGACACAAGCCUACUAUGAUGAACAGUACAGAUCCUGCUGUUCCUGUAACCGUUUUUUCUAAUUCGUUAUAACAAUAACAUUCUAUUCAAUUCAAUAACGUAGCUUUCAUCGGAUAAUUAAAUUUGAUGUGCAUUUAAAAUGUUCGGAUUUGUGAUUAUCCUAACCUUACUGAGCGUAUCGCUAUGCGAAGACCCGCAAGAAGAUUUGGUUGUGCACUACGCGGCUGUAAUAUUUAGACAUGGCGACAGGAGCCCCGUAGACAUGUAUCCUACCGAUCCAUACAGGAAUGAGUCUUUGUGGCCGGUCAAGUUCGGCCAGCUGACGAAUACCGGCAAGCGCCAACACUACGCGCUAGGGAAGUGGUUCAGGGAAAGAUAUGGGAAAAUGGUGUCUCCAAUAUUUGAUCCAACUGAAAUUAGAGUGAGGUCUACUGACGUGGAUCGCACAUUAAUGUCUGUUGAAGCUAAUUUGGCAGGAAUGUACCCGCCUGUAGGAAAAUCCGUUUGGAAUGAUAAAUUAAUGUGGCAGCCAAUUCCCGUCCAUACCGUUCCUGAAAAACGGGAUGAAGUUCUAGCUAUGGGAAGAAAAUGUGCUGCAUAUGAUAAGGCGCUUGAAGAAUACCAGAAUUCAAAGGAAUAUAAAGAAAGAUUAGCUAAAUAUCAAGACCUAAUGGAUUACAUGACUGCUUACACUGGCAAGAAGAUAAAGGAUUACUAUGAUAUUUUAAGUGUCUUCAGUAAUUUGAAUAUUGAGAAGUUCUACAACUUCACAUUACCAAAUUGGACUCAUAACGUGUAUCCUGACGAAAUGCGAGAGCCGGCCUGUUAUAGUUUCCGGCUUCCGACGAUGACACCACAGCUAGCGCGCCUGAAGGUCGGCCCCCUGAUCCAGGAGAUUGUGAUGAACAUGGCUAACACCUCUCUGACUUACCCGGAGGGCUACUCCAAGACUGUAAAACUGUCUCUGUACAGCGGCCACGAUAUCACCGUGGCGAAUGUUCUGAAUGCUCUUGGAAUGUUUGAUGGAAACUGCCCUGUGUACACGUCCACCAUUCUCAUGGAGCUUCUAUAUUCGAAUAACACAAACCAACAUUACAUAAGAAUAUCAUACAGAAAUUUCACUGACAUCCAAGAACCGCACGUACUGAAAAUACCAUACUGUGGAGAAGUUUGCAAAUUCAGCAGAUUUGUAACUCUUUACGAAAAGCUUUUAAAUAUUAAUUGGGACUUCGAGUGUGCUAACCAGGAGCCAUUUAGGGUAUUCAAAUGUGAAUGCUGAUAACAAGUCGCAGAAGAUUAUUGAGGCCUAGAUACUUAAUCUAAAUAAUAUUCCUUUGCCAAAGCAACUAUUGAAAAUAUCAUUGCAUUUUGUACUGCGUCCUAUUUUCCUGGAGAACUCUCGAACAAAUUAAACAACAUGCAAAAUGUAUCACUGAAAAUGACCAGCCAUUGGACGGAAUAUUUUCAACUCGUUACUUGAUACAACUUGGGAAUACUCGAGUACCAAAGACAAAGGCGAGGUGUUCUUUGACGUUGCAUGUGAUCUGACGUGUGACUGAAACUAUUAGAGUGGAGUAGGAAACUAAGAUAAAAAUAAUGUUUAGAAAUAAGUUUUAAUUUUGACAUGCAUGAAAUUUAAUGUAAUUAAGUACUUUUAAUUUAAUAUGUAAGUGUUUUGGUUAAGUACUGUAAACUUACGUAUUUGAAUAAAUAAAUUAAAUUAAGACGCGCACUGAUUAGUGAACAGUAUCUGGGCGACCGAGCUUCGCUCGGUUCUAUUUUUAACCCCCGACGCAAAAACGACGGGGUGUUAUAAGUUUGACGUGUCUGUCUGUCUGUCUGUCUCUCUGUUUGUCUGUCUGUGGCAUCGUAGC